This 676-nucleotide long non-coding RNA is filed under the name Oryza sativa Indica Group (long-grained rice). RNAcentral's name for it is "lncRNA OsZS97_06G010410". Lineage: Eukaryota; Viridiplantae; Streptophyta; Magnoliopsida; Poales; Poaceae. The record is from RNAcentral.
CACUUGUGCUUUUUAAUUUCUUCUCUGAGAGAAACAACGCACCUUCUUUGCACCUGCAAAGUGCAAACGCUGCAAUUUCUCUCCCUUCGGCUAUUCUUUGACCACACCAACUCAUUCCUCUCGUCCUCUCGAGCUGUAAUUUUCACUUCCAAAACGGUGCUGAAAUUGUGUUAUCUGCAGAAAAAAAGACUGAAUUUUGCAACAGCGAGAGCACUUCACUGGAAAUGUGCACCAAUUCUGAGCUUCCUUGUCACCAGGGUCGUCUUCCUGACCGAGCUCAGCCAUUGUGCCAUCCACGACAUGGACGACGAUGCGCAGGUUAAUUACGUCACCGCCGGGGAGAGGAUGAGGUCCUGUGCUCUGUCGUCUCUCCAGGUGAGGCUUCGAAGAGGACCCGACCUCCCCGUCGCUUCCCAACGGCGUCGUAGCCACCCCCUCCACCUUCUCGUCCUUGUUCUCAGUGGCUCGCCAAUACGCACACACUCGACGACUCCUUUGCCUGCUUCGCCUGUGAGCUGGCUUGGUCGCAGUGGUUGGGCUCUUGCGCUCCGCGAUGCUUCCUGGGACGACGUGUUUGGCGACAGGGAUGAGGAGGCGGGGAUUUUGGUGUGUGUCGAUGAUGAGGCAAGGGAGAGAGAGGAGAAAUGGAGGGAAGAGAGGAAAUAGAGGGGGUGCU